ACGACAAUUAUCUCAUGGCUUACUGGCUGUAAAAUACAUCUGCACUAUUGUUUCUGCUCCAACAAAGUUCAAAUGACGCAACCCCAGUUAGAAAACCACCAAAUCCAACAUCCCUCUUUGGCAGAAUGACUAUGGUUUUCGGUCAUCUCCUUCGUCUGCCAACCUUUCCACCCCAUCGGAGGUUGUACGCAAAGUAGAGGCUUAGUAUCCUGCUUUGCUUUUCAAGCAACAACUCACAACCUAUGUGGAGAAAAUAUAUGGUAUCUUGCGGGACAACUUGAAGAAAGAGUUGGCAUCAUUUAUUUCGUUAUGUAUCCAGGCACCAAGGACAUCUAAGGGAGUCUUAAGAUCUGGCCGAUCUUUUAGUAAUGAUUCUCCCAUGGGUCAUUGGCGGAGUAUUAUUGAAUCCCUCAACACUAUUCUCUAUACUAUGAAAGAGAACUUUGUGCCUCCUGUCCUUGUCCAAAAGAUCUUCUCUCAAACAUUUUCAUAUAUUAAUGUUCAACUCUUCUACAGUCUUCUUCUGCGGUGAUUGUUGCCCAUUCAGCAAUGGAGAAUAUGUGAAGGCUGGUUUAGCAUAAUUGGAGCUGUGGUGUUGCCAAGCAAAGGAGGAGUAUGUUGGGACAUCUUGGGGAUGAGCUCAAGCACAUUAGACAAGCAGCUGGAUUCUUGGUAAGUGUUUCUUCGGAAAGUCUAACCAAAUUGCCUUGGGUUUGCAGUAUGUUGGGACAUCUUGGGAUGAGCUCAAGCACAUUAGACAGGCAGUUGGAUUCUUGGUAAGUGUUUCUUGUUUCAUAAUAUGGCACCAUUUAUCUUACUGAUGUUGUUAGAAAAUUUUGAUAAUCAAUGUGGUUUACCAUGCGUCAUGUUUUGCUUCCACUUACUGUAAUUAAUUAAAAUCCGACAGUUUCACCAUUUGAGUUUUUUUGACAAAGUAAUUCCUGUCUAAAAUACACAUGUGGCUUUGCACUGUACUUCUUUUAAAUCGUUUUAACCGUCAAAAUGAAUCUUUUAUUGCCCGAAAGUUCAUGCUCAAACAAAUUUCUAUAAGAUUUGUUCAAUCAUAUUUUAAACUUAGGUAUCCAACUUACUUGCAAAAUGCGUAGUGGUGAACAGUGGGGUUAUCCAGGACCCUGGAUCAGGGGUGCAAACUUUUUUAACUUCAAUAUUUUGGUGUAAAUUGGGUAUUCUUUACUAUAAUUGCAGAGACUAAUCCCUUGAGCCAGGUAGAACCACAAUAGGUAGCAAAACUAUCCCUCAAGAGUGUUAACAUUGAGCCAUUCCUAGGGUUGAAUUAGAAAUCCAUGACCUCUGGUUAAGAUGGAAGAGACCCUUAUCAUCUCAUCCAAGCGCUUUUACUUACUCCCAAAUAAAAUUUAUUUUUAAAAUAAAAAUUUUAAAGAUUUAUUUUCAAAUCUUUUUUCAUUAAAGAAAAAUAGAAUCUUUAUUUUUUAAAAACAAAACCAUUUUAUGUUAAUAUUUUUGAAUUAAAAAAAAAAAAGGUACCGUAAAAAAAAUAGAAAAAGAAGUUUCAGUUUUCAUCUUCUACCAAAACUAUUUGCCCUAGAACUAGAGAUAACGAAGUAGAAGAGGACUCCGGCGAUUGAAGAAGACGACGAUGAAUACGAUCACGACGGUGGAAGCAAACAGUUUUCGGCGAAGCCUGAACCAUGAAGAAGAAGUAAAGUAAAGUUAUGCAGAAAAAAGUAAAGUUUUGUUUUUAAAAAAUAAAGAUUCUAUUUUUUUUUAAUUAAAAAAGAUUUGAAAAUAAAUUUUUAAAA
Long non-coding RNA from Trifolium pratense (red clover), 1781 nucleotides. RefSeq lists it as uncharacterized. The transcript has 6 exons. The record is from RefSeq and is a predicted model, not a curated record. Lineage: Eukaryota; Viridiplantae; Streptophyta; Magnoliopsida; Fabales; Fabaceae.